Molecule: unclassified non-coding RNA, 200 nt
Filed under: Thelephoraceae sp.
Lineage: Eukaryota; Fungi; Basidiomycota; Agaricomycetes; Thelephorales; Thelephoraceae
Description: partial internal transcribed spacer 2
Source: RNAcentral
UUAAGUUCAGCGGGUAGUCCUACCUGAUUUGAGAUCGAACGUUCAAAAAGCCGUCUUCGCCGAGGAGAGACAUUUGUGAGCUCCAGAGCGAACCUCCGUCGCCGAAGGUUACCCGGCGGACGACCCGCAAGCGUAGAUUAGUUAUCACGCCCAUGACCGCCCACCAAACACUGGAAAGCUGAUUCAUUUGAGAGGAGCAG